This 554-nucleotide long non-coding RNA is filed under the name Ananas comosus (pineapple). RNAcentral's name for it is "long non-coding RNA (ACOM_LNC023279)". The record is from RNAcentral. Lineage: Eukaryota; Viridiplantae; Streptophyta; Magnoliopsida; Poales; Bromeliaceae.
AUUGUCAAUCCCUAGGAUUGAGUGGGUGGUUGGUUGAAUAGUAUGAUUGUAAUAUACCAAAUUUUGGUAUAAAAAUAAAAAUAAAUAAAAAUAGCGUGAGAAACUAUUUUUAUUGGAUUUAGAGAAGUAAAAUAUAAGUUAGAAGUGACUUCUGCUGAAAUCGAAAUGAAAACAGAAGAUUUAGAAUUUUCUGUUGGAAACGGGACAGAUAAAUUAGCAGAAAAUGCACAGUGUCAGAAAAUUAUGAAAACUGGAGAAUAAGUCAGAAUUAUUUUUAUGAGGCUAGAUUUAAAGUUUCAUAUCAUUCCGACACCCGGAAGGUGAAAAAUAAAAUCCGACAGCUAUCUAAUAAAGAUUAUAGUUCGGUACAGUUUUCGGUGACCAAACGGGUUCGAAACUGAAAUAUUAAAAUUUUUUUGGACUCGUUAAGUAAAACCGAAUAUGACUGUCAAAUUUGAGCUCAAACGGAUAUUCAGGAAGUUUCGGCGAAAGAUAUCAGAUUUCGAACUGCCCGAAGUGAAUAGUGUUUUGGGUGUUGACUAAAGAGGAGUGUU